This 705-nucleotide ribosomal RNA is filed under the name Candidatus Acetothermia bacterium. RNAcentral's name for it is "bacterial LSU rRNA". It matches the Rfam family "Bacterial large subunit ribosomal RNA", at positions 480 to 1165 of the family's 2925-position model. Lineage: Bacteria; Candidatus Bipolaricaulota. The record is from RNAcentral.
UCGACCGAUAGUGAACCAGUACCGUGAGGGAAAGGCGAAAAGAACCCCGGGAGGGGAGUGAAAUAGAACGUGAAACCGUCCGCCUACAGUGCAGUGGGAGCCGGGAACCAACCUCUUCGGGGGUUGGGGAACGGUGACCGCGUGCCUUUUGCAGUAUGAGCCGGCGAGUUGUGCUCCGUGGCGAGGUUAAGCCCCUCUGGGGCGGAGCCGUAGCGAAAGCGAGUCCGAAUAGGGCGAUCAGUCACGGGGUGCAGACCCGAAGCCAGGUGAUCUACCCAUGGGCAGGGUGAAGUGCGCUUGACCGCGCACGGAGGCCCGAACCCGUAGGUCGUGCAACGCCUUGGGAUGACCUGUGGGUAGAGGUGAAAAGCCAAUCGCACCUGGUGAUAUCUGGUUCUCCCCGAAAUGGCUCUAGGGUCAGCCUCACGCCAGAGGCGGCCGGGGGUAGAGUACUGGCUGGGGAAGGGGGGCAACCUCCGACCUCAUUCAAACUCCGAAUACCGGUUCGCCGUUCCGUGGGAGUGAGACGGCGGGGGAUAACCUCCGUUGUCGAGGGCGAAACAACGCAGACCACCAGCUAAGGCCCCCAAAUCCAGGCUAAGUGGGCAAGGCGGUGUGAUCGCAUAUACAGCUGGGAGGUUGGCUUAGAAGCAGCCAUUCCUUUAAAGAGUGCGUAAUAGCUCACUGGUCGAGGGCUUCUGCGCC